ACAAGCGGCGGAGCAUGCGGAUUAAUUCGAUGCAACGCGAAGAACCUUACCAGGUCUUGACAUCCCGAUGCUAUUUCUAGAGAUAGAAAGUUACUUCGGUACAUCGGUGACAGGUGGUGCAUGGUUGUCGUCAGCUCGUGUCGUGAGAUGUUGGGUUAAGUCCCGCAACGAGCGCAACCCCUAUUGUUAGUUGCCAUCAUUCAGUUGGGCACUCUAGCGAGACUGCCGGUAAUAAACCGGAGGAAGGUGGGGAUGACGUCAAAUCAUCAUGCCCCUUAUGUCUUGGGCUUCACGCAUGCUACAAUGGCCGGUACAAAGGGCUGCGAUACCGCGAGGUGGAGCGAAUCCCAGAAAGCCGGUCUCAGUUCGGAUUGGGGUCUGCAACUCGACCCCAUGAAGUCGGAGUCGCUAGUAAUCGCAGAUCAGCAACGCUGCGGUGAAUACGUUCCCGGGCCUU
Molecule: ribosomal RNA, 457 nt
Filed under: uncultured Streptococcus sp.
Lineage: Bacteria; Bacillati; Bacillota; Bacilli; Lactobacillales; Streptococcaceae
Description: bacterial SSU rRNA
Rfam family: Bacterial small subunit ribosomal RNA
Source: RNAcentral